UACGGGGGGGCAAGCGUUGUUCGGAAUUACUGGGCGUAAAGGGCUCGUAGGCGGCCAACUAAGUCGGAUGUGAAAUCCCCAAGCUUAACUUGGGAACUGCAUCCGAUACUGGAUGGCUUGAAUCCGGGAGAGGGAUGCAGAAUUCCAGGUGUAGCGGUGAAAUGCGUAGAUAUCUGGAGGAAUACCGGUGGCGAAGGCGGCAUCCUGGACCGACAUUGACGCUGAGGAGCGAAAGCUAGGGGAGCAAACGGG
Molecule: ribosomal RNA, 252 nt
Filed under: uncultured bacterium
Lineage: Bacteria
Description: partial 16S ribosomal RNA
Rfam family: Bacterial small subunit ribosomal RNA
Source: RNAcentral